RNAcentral lists this ribosomal RNA (751 nucleotides) under uncultured Pseudomonadaceae bacterium. RNAcentral describes it as "bacterial SSU rRNA". It matches the Rfam family "Bacterial small subunit ribosomal RNA", at positions 79 to 826 of the family's 1533-position model. Lineage: Bacteria; Pseudomonadati; Pseudomonadota; Gammaproteobacteria; Pseudomonadales; Pseudomonadaceae. The record is from RNAcentral.
CUCGCUCCUGGAUUCAGCGGCGGACGGGUGAGUAAUGCCUAGGAAUCUGCCUGGUAGUGGGGGAUAACGUCCGGAAACGGGCGCUAAUACCGCAUACGUCCUGAGGGAGAAAGUGGGGGAUCUUCGGACCUCACGCUAUCAGAUGAGCCUAGGUCGGAUUAGCUAGUUGGUGGGGUAAAGGCCUACCAAGGCGACGAUCCGUAACUGGUCUGAGAGGAUGAUCAGUCACACUGGAACUGAGACACGGUCCAGACUCCUACGGGAGGCGGCAGUGGGGAAUAUUGGACAAUGGGCGAAAGCCUGAUCCAGCCAUGCCGCGUGUGUGAAGAAGGUCUUCGGAUUGUAAAGCACUUUAAGUUGGGAGGAAGGGCAGUAAGUUAAUACCUUGCUGUUUUGACGUUACCAACAGAAUAAGCACCGGCUAACUUCGUGCCAGCAGCCGCGGUAAUACGAAGGGUGCAAGCGUUAAUCGGAAUUACUGGGCGUAAAGCGCGCGUAGGUGGUUCAGCAAGUUGGAUGUGAAAUCCCCGGGCUCAACCUGGGAACUGCAUCCAAAACUACUGAGCUAGAGUACGGUAGAGGGUGGUGGAAUUUCCUGUGUAGCGGUGAAAUGCGUAGAUAUAGGAAGGAACACCAGUGGCGAAGGCGACCACCUGGACUGAUACUGACACUGAGGUGCGAAAGCGUGGGGAGCAAACAGGAUUAGAUANCCUGGUAGUCCACGCCGUAAACGAUGUCGACUAGCCGUUGG